RNAcentral lists this ribosomal RNA (253 nucleotides) under uncultured bacterium. RNAcentral's name for it is "partial 16S ribosomal RNA". It matches the Rfam family "Bacterial small subunit ribosomal RNA", at positions 524 to 776 of the family's 1533-position model. The record is from RNAcentral.
UACGGAGGGAGCUAGCGUUAUUCGGAAUUACGGGGCGUAAAGCGCACGUAGGCGGCUUUGUAAGUUAGAGGUGAAAGCCUGGAGCUCAACUCCAGAACUGCCUUUAAGACUGCAUCGCUUGAAUCCAGGAGAGGUGAGUGGAAUUCCGAGUGUAGAGGUGAAAUUCGUAGAUAUUCGGAAGAACACCAGUGGCGAAGGCGACUCACUGGACAGGUAUUGACGCUGAGGUGCGAAAGCGUGGGGAGCAAACAGG